CCUACGGGAGGCAGCAGUGGGGAAUAUUGCACAAUGGGCGAAAGCCUGAUGCAGCAACGCCGCGUGAAGGAAGAAGGCCUUCGGGACGUAAACUUCUGUCCGUGGGGAAGAAGAACGGACGGGACCCAAGGAGGAAGCCCCGGCUAACUACGGGCCAGCAGCCGCGGUAAUACGUAGGGGGCAAGCGUUAUCCGGAAUUCUUGGGCGUAAAGCGUACGUCGGGGGAAACCUAGGCGCAGGGUGUAAGGAAAUGGCUCAACCAUUGUUCGCCCUGCUAACUGGGAUGCUUGAGUGCAGGAGAGGGCAGCGGAAUUCCUCUUGUAGCGGUGUACUUCCUAUUUCUUAGGCGGAA
Molecule: ribosomal RNA, 352 nt
Filed under: uncultured bacterium
Lineage: Bacteria
Description: partial 16S ribosomal RNA
Rfam family: Bacterial small subunit ribosomal RNA
Source: RNAcentral